This 502-nucleotide ribosomal RNA is filed under the name uncultured bacterium. RNAcentral describes it as "bacterial SSU rRNA". It matches the Rfam family "Bacterial small subunit ribosomal RNA", at positions 24 to 518 of the family's 1533-position model. The record is from RNAcentral.
UCAGGAUGAACGCUAGCGGCAGGCUUAACACAUGCAAGUCGAGGGGCAGCGGGAUGUAGCAAUACAUUGCCGGCGACCGGCGGAUGGGUGCGUAACGCGUAUGCAACCUACCUUAUACAGGGGAAUAACCUUUCGAAAGGGAGACUAACACCCCAUAGUAUUGAUUUAAGGCAUCUUAGAUUAAUUAAAUAUUUAUAGGUAUAAGAUGGGCAUGCGUAUGAUUAGCUAGUUGGUAAGGUAACGGCUUACCAAGGCGACGAUCAUUAGGGGUUCUGAGAGGAAGGUCCCCCACACUGGUACUGAGACACGGACCAGACUCCUACGGGAGGCAGCAGUGAGGAAUAUUGGUCAAUGGGCGCAAGCCUGAACCAGCCAUGCCGCGUGCAAGGAAGACGGCCUUAUGGGUUGUAAACUGCUUUUACAUAAGACUAACCGUAUAUUUGCGAAUAUACCUGAAUGUAUUAUGAGAAUAAGGAUCGGCUAACUCCGUGCCAGCCGCCGC